This 433-nucleotide ribosomal RNA is filed under the name uncultured bacterium. RNAcentral's name for it is "partial 16S ribosomal RNA". It matches the Rfam family "Bacterial small subunit ribosomal RNA", at positions 29 to 507 of the family's 1533-position model. The record is from RNAcentral.
AACGAACGCUGGCGGCAUGCCUAACACAUGCAAGUCGAACGAGACCUUCGGGUCUAGUGGCGCACGGGUGCGUAACGCGUGGGAACCUGCCCUUAGGUUCGGCAUAACUCCCCGAAAGGGGUGCUAAUACCGGAUAAUGUCUUCGGUCCAAAGAUUUAUCGCCUUUGGAUGGGCUCGCGUUGGAUUAGCUAGUUGGUAGGGUAAAAGCCUACCAAGGCGACGAUCCAUAGCUGGUCUGAGAGGAUGAUCAGCCACACUGGGACUGAGACACGGCCCAGACUCCUACGGGAGGCAGCAGUGGGGAAUAUUGGACAAUGGGCGAAAGCCUGAUCCAGCAAUGCCGGGUGAGUGAUGAAGGCCUUAGGGUUGUAAAGCUCUUUUACCCGGGAUGAUAAUGACAGUACCGGGAGAAUAAGCUCCGGCUAACUCCGUG